RNAcentral lists this non-coding RNA (45 nucleotides) under Echinostoma caproni. The record is from RNAcentral. Lineage: Eukaryota; Metazoa; Platyhelminthes; Trematoda; Plagiorchiida; Echinostomatidae.
GCACUGCCGACGAGUGCCAAACAGGAGGAAACAGCUGUCCAGUGC